GUUUGACACUCCUGUUCUAUGAGGUCAGAUCUUGCACAUGAGACGGUUCCAUCAUCAAACAUUCCUCACAUCCAGAUGUCCGAGCUGAUGAGCGCCCCUGAACAGAAAGCUGCAGGAGACAGAGGAUGCUGGGGGGUCCCAUGGUGUGGUGGGGGCAGAAGUGCAGUGUUGGAGGGCAGCUGUCUCCCAGUUGGUGUUUUAAUUCCCAGCAGCGCCCCCAGUCACGUGUUCACAUGUCACAAUGUGUACUAGAACCUGAACCCUAUUAUUAUAUUAUUAUUAUUUUGUCAAUUUUGUCACUCCAAUCAUUUUUUGAUCUAUUGUAAAAAUGUUUCCAUUAAAAGUUUUUAGCCCAAAUUUAAAAAAAAGUAGUUUUCUAGGACAUAGUUUCUGCAGAGCCACAGGAAUUCAUCAGAAAUUCACCCCUAAAUUGUGGGCAGGACCAUUGGCAUGGAGCAACCCCGCCCCCAUUUCCCAUCCCCUUUGAAAAAAGAGCUAGUAGCCAGCCCAAUUCUACCCCGCAAUUACUCUCUUUUUCAAUUUUUUGUUCUCCUGAUUAUCAACAUUUUUAAAGAUCCCUUGUGUUUCUUCAAGAUAAUCAAGUGUAAAUUAAAUAUGUGAACAAACAAACAUGUAAACAAGAAUGAAUACAGAUUUUUCUCUCAAUGCCUUCUGUCUGCUCAGUACGAUAUGUUGGUCAUCCCUCCAUCCAUCAUCCAUCCAUCCAUCCAUCCACCAGCCUGUUACAGGACCAUCAUUCAUACUGACCAAUAAUAUACAAAUACAUGAAUCUGCAGCAGUCGUGGUGCAGUGGUAGAGCGGUCAACCUAUGAUUGGAAGGUUUGUUUCCUGCUUUGCCUACCAAUGUGUUGAAGUGUCACCAUUACUGAGUCACAAGAACUGUGAAGUGAAAGGAAGGGAAAAAUAGCACCAUAAAUGUGUUGUAAUCCAUGUAAUCUGGAUUACUGGACUGAGUUGGAUCAUACUGAAUGAAGCUUUUAGCUUUUGUGUUCCAUUUGUGUAGCAUGGGAACCGGAUCUUAACAAACAAACUGAAUUUGAUUAAAUGAUGUGGAGAGCUCCGAGUCAAGGUCGCUGUCCUCCUUCAUGUCAGGAAGUAGCAGGAAGCUGUGGAUUGGUGUGGAUUCUUCAGUCCAGAGCUGUCACUGCCCUCACUCAGACCCCCCUAAAAAGAAAAGAAAAAAACAGAAAAGAAAAGCCCAAAUUUAGAAGAAAAAUGAACCAACAGUCAAACUUCUCCGAGACGCCAUGGCCUCCUCAUUUCUCUCUCCGAUCUUUCCACUCCCCUUUUGCCCCAUCAUUCUAACCCCCCCACCCUAAACUCUUCCCUUCCUGUUAAGUCCACUUCCCUUCUCCUCCUGUCUUUGCUCUGGUUCUGUGUCUCCUGAAAUGCUUCCACGUCACUGUUGGAGCUGCUCUUCUCCUUCAUCGUCGGCCAAUCAGUCAGGUCUGAAAGUGGGGGGUGGGGGGAGCUUCCCAGCAGCCAGACCCACCCUGCAGCGACCAUACAAGGUAAGAGUGGAGAGCCCGGCCGGUCUGCUUCAUAAAUCAGAGUCCUGCAUGGGGCGAAGCCUCACUGAGCAUCUCCUCAUCCUCCGCUGCAGAUGAAGACCCUGAAGGUGGACACGUGGAGAGCGAGCUGUCCUGUGGAAUGAAGAUGAUGGCCAGACGGAGAGCGAUGGAGAGAGUUCCUGAGGACCUUUGGAGCCCAGAGGAAGCAGACUUCAGUCCAUAUUAGAUACAUUCAGGAGCUCAGAGGAUGAAUACAUGCAACCUUCUAUACUGCAGGUCCAGCCACAGCGGUGCCUUCUGGUUCUGGUCCAUCUCUGCUGCCCAUGGUGCAGUGCUGCAUCUCUGGUCAGUUGAUAGUCUGAGAUGAAGCACUGUAGCUCGGGACGGAGGGCAGGAGUCUCAAUCUAAGCAAAUCCAGAGCCUCUACCUGCCUCCAAGCCUAAAGGAAGACUUCAGUGAAGAUCUCUGUGAACCUGAACCUGGUGGCUGACGAGCUUUCUCCUCCUCUCUCCUGGGGUCCAGUUUUCCCAGGAAUCCCUUGGGCUGUCAAAAAGGGGGAUUCCUGGAAAUACUGAUCUUGGGGGCGGGGCUUAUCCUAACCUCAUGUGGUUGUCAGGAAGCUGACAGCUGGAGAAGAAGAUCCAAACAGCAGUCAGGUGACCACUCCAAGAGUGAAGUUCCACUGGUUUGGUGCAGUCAUUUUUAAGAGAAAAAACACAAAUAAAAGAUUUAAAAACUCUG
This is a long non-coding RNA of Oryzias melastigma (Indian medaka), 2273 nucleotides long. RefSeq lists it as uncharacterized. The transcript has 4 exons. NCBI's taxonomy places the organism in Eukaryota, Metazoa, Chordata, Actinopteri, Beloniformes, Adrianichthyidae. The record is from RefSeq and is a predicted model, not a curated record.